UACGUAGGGUGCGAGCGUUAAUCGGAAUUACUGGGCGUAAAGCGUGCGCAGGCGGUCCGCCAAGUCUGAUGUGAAAGCCCCGGGCUCAACCUGGGAACUGCAUCCGAGACUGCAUUGCUAGAGUCCCGGAGAGGAAGGCAGAAUUCCCGGUGUAGGGGUGAAAUCCGUAGAUAUCGGGAGGAAUACCAGCGGCGAAGGCGGCCUUCUGGACGGUGACUGACGCUGAGACGCGAAAGCGUGGGGAGCAAACAGG
Molecule: ribosomal RNA, 253 nt
Filed under: uncultured bacterium
Lineage: Bacteria
Description: partial 16S ribosomal RNA
Rfam family: Bacterial small subunit ribosomal RNA
Source: RNAcentral